This 1444-nucleotide ribosomal RNA is filed under the name Cylindrospermopsis raciborskii CS-505. RNAcentral's name for it is "bacterial SSU rRNA". It matches the Rfam family "Bacterial small subunit ribosomal RNA". The record is from RNAcentral. Lineage: Bacteria; Bacillati; Cyanobacteriota; Cyanophyceae; Nostocales; Aphanizomenonaceae.
UGCUUAACACAUGCAAGUCGAACGGGAUGCUUAGGCAUCUAGUGGCGGACGGGUGAGUAACGCGUGAGAAUCUGGCUCCAGGUCGGGGAUAACAGUUGGAAACGACUGCUAAUACCGGAUGUGCCGAGAGGUGAAAGAUUUAUUGCCUGGAGAUGAGCUCGCGUCUGAUUAGCUAGUUGGUGGUGUAAGGGACCACCAAGGCGUCGAUCAGUAGCUGGUCUGAGAGGAUGAUCAGCCACACUGGGACUGAGACACGGCCCAGACUCCUACGGGAGGCAGCAGUGGGGAAUUUUCCGCAAUGGGCGAAAGCCUGACGGAGCAAUACCGCGUGAGGGAGGAAGGCUCUUGGGUCGUAAACCUCUUUUCUCAAGGAAGAAGAAAGUGACGGUACUUGAGGAAUAAGCAUCGGCUAACUCCGUGCCAGCAGCCGCGGUAAUACGGAGGAUGCAAGCGUUAUCCGGAAUGAUUGGGCGUAAAGGGUCUGCAGGUGGAACUGAAAGUCUGCUGUUAAAGAGUUUGGCUUAACCAAAUAAAAGCGGUGGAAACUACAGAACUAGAGUGCGGUAGGGGCAAAAGGAAUUCCUGGUGUAGCGGUGAAAUGCGUAGAUAUCAGGAAGAACACCGGUGGCGAAAGCGUUUUGCUAGACCGUAACUGACACUGAGGGACGAAAGCUAGGGGAGCGAAUGGGAUUAGAUACCCCAGUAGUCCUAGCCGUAAACGAUGGAUACUAGGCGUGGCUUGUAUCGACCCGAGCCGUGCCGGAGCUAACGCGUUAAGUAUCCCGCCUGGGGAGUACGCACGCAAGUGUGAAACUCAAAGGAAUUGACGGGGGCCCGCACAAGCGGUGGAGUAUGUGGUUUAAUUCGAUGCAACGCGAAGAACCUUACCAAGACUUGACAUCCUGCGAAUCCCGGUGAAAGCUGGGAGUGCCUUAGGGAGCGCAGAGACAGGUGGUGCAUGGCUGUCGUCAGCUCGUGUCGUGAGAUGUUGGGUUAAGUCCCGCAACGAGCGCAACCCUCGUUUUUAGUUGCCAGCAUUAAGUUGGGCACUCUAGAGAGACUGCCGGUGACAAACCGGAGGAAGGUGAGGAUGACGUCAAGUCAGCAUGCCCCUUACGUCUUGGGCUACACACGUACUACAAUGCUACGGACAGAGGGCAGCAAGCCAGGGAUGGCAAGCGAAUCCAGAAACCGUAGCUCAGUUCAGAUCGAAGGCUGCAACUCGCCUUCGUGAAGGAGGAAUCGCUAGUAAUUGCAGGUCAGCAUACUGCAGUGAAUUCGUUCCCGGGCCUUGUACACACCGCCCGUCACACCACGGAAGUUGGUCACGCCCGAAGUCAUUACCCCAACCGAAAGGAGGGGGAUGCCUAAGGUAGGACUGGUGACUGGGGUGAAGUCGUAACAAGGUAGCCGUACCGGAAGGUGUGGCUGGAUCACCUCCUUU